AUACGUAGGUGGCAAGCGUUAUCCGGAUUUAUUGGGCGUAAAGCGAGCGCAGGCGGUUUUUUAAGUCUGAUGUGAAAGCCUUCGGCUUAACCGAAGAAGUGCAUCGGAAACUGGGAAACUUGAGUGCAGAAGAGGACAGUGGAACUCCAUGUGUAGCGGUGAAAUGCGUAGAUAUAUGGAAGAACACCAGUGGCGAAGGCGGCUGUCUGGUCUGUAACUGACGCUGAGGCUCGAAAGCAUGGGUAGCGAACAGGAUUAGAUACCCUGGUAGUCCAUGCCGUAAACGAUGAAUGCUAAGUGUUGGAGGGUUUCCGCCCUUCAGUGCUGCAGCUAACGCAUUAAGCAUUCCGCCUGGGGAGUACGACCGCAAGGUUGAA
RNAcentral lists this ribosomal RNA (377 nucleotides) under uncultured bacterium. Its description in RNAcentral is "bacterial SSU rRNA". It matches the Rfam family "Bacterial small subunit ribosomal RNA", at positions 523 to 898 of the family's 1533-position model. The record is from RNAcentral.